UACGUAGGGUGCGAGCGUUAAUCGGAAUUACUGGGCGUAAAGUGUGCGCAGGUGGCCGCGCAAGUCGAGUGUGAAAUCCCCGGGCUUAACUUGGGAAUUGCGCUCGAAACUACGUGGCUCGAGUGUGGCAGAGGAAGGUGGAAUUCCACGUGUAGCGGUGAAAUGCGUAGAGAUGUGGAGGAACACCGGUGGCGAAGGCGGCUUCCUGGACCGACACUGACGCUGAGGCGCGAAAGCUAGGGGAGCAAACGGG
RNAcentral lists this ribosomal RNA (253 nucleotides) under uncultured bacterium. RNAcentral describes it as "partial 16S ribosomal RNA". It matches the Rfam family "Bacterial small subunit ribosomal RNA", at positions 524 to 776 of the family's 1533-position model. The record is from RNAcentral.